RNAcentral lists this transfer RNA (85 nucleotides) under Halobacteriales archaeon QH_1_68_42. RNAcentral describes it as "tRNA-Leu". It matches the Rfam family "tRNA". From Rfam's summary of the family: Transfer RNA (tRNA) molecules are approximately 80 nucleotides in length. Their secondary structure includes four short double-helical elements and three loops (D, anti-codon, and T loops). Further hydrogen bonds mediate the characteristic L-shaped molecular structure. tRNAs have two regions of fundamental functional importance: the anti-codon, which is responsible for specific mRNA codon recognition, and the 3' end, to which the tRNAs corresponding amino acid is attached (by aminoacyl-tRNA synthetases). tRNAs cope with the degeneracy of the genetic code in two manners: having more than one tRNA (with a specific anti-codon) for a particular amino acid; and 'wobble' base-pairing, i.e. permitting non-standard base-pairing at the 3rd anti-codon position. Lineage: Archaea; Methanobacteriati; Methanobacteriota; Halobacteria; Halobacteriales. RNAcentral also lists the same sequence under 4 other names. The record is from RNAcentral.
GCGAGGGUGGCCGAGCCUGGCCAAAGGCGGCGGGCUUAAGACCCGCUCCCGUAGGGGUCCGCGCGUUCGAAUCGCGUCCCUCGCA